GGCUGUUAGGAGAAUGCUCAUCAUGGAACCAAUGUUAUGAUAAAGUGCAAGGGGAACCUUGAUGGAUUCCAUGGCAGGGUCUCAUGUAUCCCAGUUUGGCCUUGAAUUCACUGUGUAACUGAGGAUGACCUUGAGCUUCGGAUAGUCUCACCUCCUCCUCCCAAGUGCUGGCCUCACAGCAUAAUCCACUAGCAUCAUCCACCAGCAUCAGCAUCAUCCACCAGCAUCAGCAUCAUCCAUCAACAUCUACAUUAUCCACCAGCAUCAUCUACCAGCAUCAUCCACCAGAAUCAUCCCCCACACCUGAUGUGAAGGAGACAUGUGGUUUCAGUAUUCAAAAUGCCUACACCAGAAUCUCAAGCACCUGUGUUUGACUAACCAGGAAAAGCCAACCUGAAACAACCCUAGGAGGACACAGAUGUCACUCUUAAUGACUUUGAAAACUCAGAUGAUAUGAAGACAUUGUAAUGAGGACACCGGAAGAGUCACUGUUGAUAAAUCUGGUCUUUUUUUUUUUUGGUGGUGGUGGUGGUUGAGCCAGGCUGGCCUUGAACUCACAGAGAUCUGCCUGCCUCUGCCUCCCGAGUGCUGGGAUUAAAGGCAUGCACCACCACCGCCCAGCUCAAUAAACCUGGUCUUAAAUUUUUUCUAAUGGCAUAUUUUAGAUGAAGGGAAAUGCUACCGGGGGCAAGAUGUAAACAUUUAGAAUGAUAAAAGUAAAUGUUUGGGUAGGUUUAACAGACUUUUGUUUUUGUUUGUUUGUUUGUUUGUUUGUUUGUUUGAGAUAGAUAAGGUCUUGCUACAGGGCACAGGAUGACCC
This 820-nucleotide long non-coding RNA is filed under the name Cricetulus griseus (Chinese hamster). RNAcentral describes it as "lncRNA (ENSCGRG00015039643.1)". The record is from RNAcentral. Lineage: Eukaryota; Metazoa; Chordata; Mammalia; Rodentia; Cricetidae.